CGUACUAGACGGGGAGUUAGCGGUGCCCUGCACCUGCAAUCCGCUAUAGCAGGGUUGAAUUCCUCGCCUAGGUAUUAAUUUGUAUGGUCUGGCCUAUGUAAGUGGCGUUGAUAACUGGGUCCCACGCAAUAAAGACUCAUGAACCUCGUCAGGUCUGGAAGGAAGCAGCGAUAAGUGAGCCCCUUUAUGUGCCGUGGAUUAACCUGGUUUGAGUUAACUACAUAGGUAACGCAUAUAAAUUAAUAUCGAAGCGAGGUGUACG
RNAcentral lists this signal recognition particle RNA (262 nucleotides) under Clostridium senegalense. RNAcentral describes it as "Bacterial large signal recognition particle RNA". It matches the Rfam family "Bacterial large signal recognition particle RNA". From Rfam's summary of the family: The signal recognition particle (SRP) is a universally conserved ribonucleoprotein involved in the co-translational targeting of proteins to membranes. Archaeal SRP consists of a 7S RNA and homologues of the eukaryotic SRP19 and SRP54 proteins. In most bacteria, the SRP consists of a 4.5S RNA and the Ffh protein (a homologue of the eukaryotic SRP54 protein). Lineage: Bacteria; Bacillati; Bacillota; Clostridia; Eubacteriales; Clostridiaceae. The record is from RNAcentral.